GUACACCUCGCUUCACCUCUACACAUCUUCCUGUCAACGUGCAGAGGUGAAGCGAAGUGCA
RNAcentral lists this unclassified non-coding RNA (61 nucleotides) under synthetic construct. The record is from RNAcentral.